RNAcentral lists this ribosomal RNA (365 nucleotides) under Epitrimerus sp. YN450 1. RNAcentral's name for it is "partial small subunit ribosomal RNA". The record is from RNAcentral. Lineage: Eukaryota; Metazoa; Arthropoda; Arachnida; Trombidiformes; Eriophyidae.
CCUGAAUUAACUCAGGAGUGACGGGCAAUUUGUGCAUAUAAAAUUAAUACUUCAAAUUUAACUUUACUUUUUUAAAAUUUAAUAUCAGGUCCUAUCUAUCUCUUUUAAUUAAACAUUUUAAUUUAUUUAACUCAAUGUGUUUCGCUUCAACCAAAAAUAUAUCUUUUGUCUUGAUUUGUAAUAAAAUUAUUAAAUUUUUAGAAUAUUUCUUUUGAAACUUUCUAUGUACAAUGAUAUAAAAAGUUAGAAAUAUGGCUCAUCAAAUCGUGGAUUAUCUAUUAUAAAGUAAAACCCCCUGAAGAAUUUCAUACCGCCAUCUCAUUUAGAUUUUUCUUAAAUAGGUACUAUCCUGUGUCGAUUUAAAA